RNAcentral lists this transfer RNA (71 nucleotides) under Ackermannviridae sp. RNAcentral describes it as "tRNA-Lys". It matches the Rfam family "tRNA". From Rfam's summary of the family: Transfer RNA (tRNA) molecules are approximately 80 nucleotides in length. Their secondary structure includes four short double-helical elements and three loops (D, anti-codon, and T loops). The record is from RNAcentral. Lineage: Duplodnaviria; Heunggongvirae; Uroviricota; Caudoviricetes; Pantevenvirales; Ackermannviridae.
GAGUUGCUUACAGUUGGUAGAGCACUUGACUUUUAAUCAAGUUGUCCGGGGUUCGAAUCCCCGCACGCUCA